This 291-nucleotide ribosomal RNA is filed under the name uncultured Acidobacteriota bacterium. RNAcentral's name for it is "uncultured Acidobacteria bacterium partial 16S ribosomal RNA". Lineage: Bacteria; Pseudomonadati; Acidobacteriota. The record is from RNAcentral.
GGACUACAGGGGUAUCUAAUCCUGUUUGCUCCCCUAGCUUUCGUUCCUCAGCGUCAGUAGUGGUCCAGCGCGCCGCUUUCGCCACGGGUGUUCCUGCAGAUAUCUACGCAUUUCACCGCUACACCUGCAAUUCCACGCGCCUCUCCCACACUCCAGCACAGCAGUUUCGGAAGCAGCCUCUGAGUUGAGCCCAGAGAUUUCACUCCCGACUUGCCACACCGCCUACGAACCCUUUACACCCAGUAAUUCCGAACAACGCUGGCCCCCUACGUCUUACCGCGGCUGCUGCAC